RNAcentral lists this ribosomal RNA (730 nucleotides) under uncultured bacterium. Its description in RNAcentral is "bacterial SSU rRNA". It matches the Rfam family "Bacterial small subunit ribosomal RNA", at positions 771 to 1501 of the family's 1533-position model. The record is from RNAcentral.
AACAGGAUUAGAUACCCUGGUAGUCCACACCGUAAACGAUGAGUGCUAGGUGUUUGAGGGUUUCCGCCCUUAAGUGCCGCAGCUAACGCAUUAAGCACUCCGCUUGGGGAGUACGACCGCAAGGUUGAAACUCAAAGGAAUUGACGGGGACCCGCGCAAGCGGUGGAGCAUGUGGUUUAAUUCGAAGCAACGCGAAGAACCUUACCAGGUCUUGACAUCCCUUGACAACUCCAGAGAUGGAGCGUUCCCUUCGGGGACAAGGUGACAGGUGGUGCAUGGUUGUCGUCAGCUCGUGUCGUGAGAUGUUGGGUUAAGUCCCGCAACGAGCGCAACCCUUAUUACUAGUUGCCAGCAUUUAGUUGGGCACUCUAGUGAGACUGCCGGUGACAAACCGGAGGAAGGCGGGGAUGACGUCAAAUCAUCAUGCCCCUUAUGACCUGGGCUACACACGUGCUACAAUGGCGCAUACAACGAGUUGCCAACCCGCGAGGGUGAGCUAAUCUCUUAAAGUACGUCUCAGUUCGGAUUGUAGGCUGCAACUCGCCUACAUGAAGUCGGAGUCGCUAGUAAUCGUGGAUCAGAAUGCCACGGUGAAUACGUUCCCGGGCCUUGUACACACCGCCCGUCACACCAUGAGAGUUUGUAACACCCAAAGCCGGUGGGGUAACCUUCGGGAGCCAGCCGUCUAAGGUGGGACAGAUGAUUAGGGUGAAGUCGUAACAAGGUAACC